AAUGAGGUCUGAUAAUAGUGGGUGCAGGUGAAUUAUGGGAGUUGUAGUGAGGGCUGAUAAUAGUGGGUGCAGGUGAAUUAUGGGAGUUGUAGUGAGGGCUGAUAAUAGUGGGUGCAGGGGAAUUAUGGGAGUUGUAGUGAGGGUCUAAUAAUAGUGGGUGCAGGUGAAUUAUGGGAGUUGUAGUGAGGGUCUGAUAAUAACAGGUGCAGGUGAAUUAUGGGAGUUGUAGUUAGGGUCUGAUAAUAGUGGGUGCAGGUGAAUUAUGGGAGUUGUAGUGAGGGCUGAUAAUAGUGGGUGCAUUUGAAUUAUGGGAGUCGUAGUGAGGGCUGAUAAUAGUGGGUGCAGGUGAAUUAUGGGAGUCGUAGUGAGGGCUGAUAAUAGUGGGUGCAGGUGAAUUAUGGGAGUUGUAGUGAGGGCUGAUAAUAGUGGGUGCAGGUGAAUUAUGGGAGUCGUAGUGAGGGCUGAUAAUAGUGGGUGCAGGUGAAUUAUGGGAGUUGUAGUGAGGGCUGAUAAUAGUGGGUGCAGGUGAAUUAUGGGAGUUGUAGUGAGGGCUGAUAAUAGUGGGUGCAGGUGAAUUAUGGGAGUUGUAGUGAGGGCUGAUAAUAGUGGGUGCAGGUGAAUUAUGGGAGUCGUAGUGAGGGCUGAUAAUAGUGGGAGCAGGUGAAUUAUGGGAGUUGUAGUGAGGGCUGAUAAUAGUGGGAGCAGGUGAAUUAUGGGAGUUGUAGUGAGGGCUGAUAAUAGUGGGAGCAGGUGAAUUAUGGGAGUUGUAGUGAGGGCUGAUAAUAGUGGGUGCAGAGGAAUUAUGGGAGUUGUAGUGAGGGCUGAUAAUAGUGGGUGCAGGUGAAUUAUGGGAGUCGUAGUGAGGGCUGAUAAUA
Molecule: long non-coding RNA, 875 nt
Organism: Astyanax mexicanus (Mexican tetra)
Lineage: Eukaryota; Metazoa; Chordata; Actinopteri; Characiformes; Acestrorhamphidae
Exons: 3
Source: RefSeq, a predicted model, not a curated record